Long non-coding RNA from Galleria mellonella (greater wax moth), 945 nucleotides. RefSeq lists it as uncharacterized. The transcript has 3 exons. The record is from RefSeq and is a predicted model, not a curated record. Lineage: Eukaryota; Metazoa; Arthropoda; Insecta; Lepidoptera; Pyralidae.
UCGACCUGGUUGGGUAUAUUGCUAGCAAUGGAAUUUUUAGUCUCCAUUACUAACAAUCCCUUUCCCCACUGUGUAGAUUGUUAGAUAUUCCUGACCAAGUCGGUUUAGAUGGCUUGUAUGAAGUGUGCUCUUUUAUCACUUGAUUAUAUAUUUUUCGCUUCGUGUCAUAUUUGUUUUUUUCACAAGGUUGAUACCGUCUAAUUGCAACUCGAUCAGCCCUCCUUUUUUGUUAUUUAAUUACUAAUUACUAAUUCUAUUAUUGUAAUAUUAGGGGUUUGUUUGUUCUUCUAUGUUCAAUUUAUGUUUUGGAACGGAGAAGGUUUGUCUUACGAGUAUAAUCUCCACAAAUCUCCAAGAUUUUUCAGGUGACUUUUUCGUGGUUAUAACAGUCUUGCAGCUGUGAUUUGGAAUCUCGCUGCAAAACAUCUGUACUCUGGUGCCAAAAUCAUUGAGACUGCAAUGUAUAUUUCUAAGAAUUUCAUAUUUAACGAAGGUUUCCAAGCAGUUUUAAAAAUAAUGGCAAUUAUGGGAUGGCCGAAUGGCCGCGAAGCAUAUGCUAAUGCACAAAACCGCGAUAAAGCGCGCAUAGCACGCUCCGAACGCCGGACUGAAGCAAGAGUAGAACAACCCGCAUUAGAAGAAUUUCAAGAGGAAGAGGAAGGAGAGUUCUAAGGACCAGACAUCGCAGAUUGAUGAUAAGCCGAUCAACCAACAUCAUGGAGGAAGUGAGCAUCAUUUAUUUGGAAGCAGCUGUCUUCAGAGUGGUGUAACUUAAGUUUUAAUUAAGUUUAUUACUUGAAAUAUGUUAAUAUGAAAUAUGUAGGCCCUCACACGGGGGCACCUUUGUAAGAUUUUGUUUGUAUAAAAACAAAAUUAGUUUUCAUACCUGUUCAAUUGAAAAAAGUACAAUACAAUAAUAAAUAAAUACUAAAAUAUAUGCUAGUG